UGCCAUUGCCUUCUCCGAUGAGCCCCAACUAACCUCCCCGAAACACACACACAGACACACACAUAUGCAUGCGCGCAUCUUAGAUGUGCAUGUUAAACCACUGUCAAGCAAUCUAUUUGGUGCUGGGAUGUAAAGAACAGAUGUCAACCUACGGCCACUGCUUCCAGUGGUCCUUGCCAGACCUGUGUGCUGAACUACCCCCUUCGUGUGGUUUCACUCACCCUCUGCCCUCAGAUAAGGAUGAGGGUCUUUGCUGGAUGCUGUGCUGGACAACAGGAAGGUGGGCUGAGCCGUGAGGUAGGAAGAUCUAUAGACUUUGGACUCAGAUCACUCAGCUUUCAGUGAGACUUCGUGAUGAAGCUGUGUCAAGGCAAGGUGAUCUACAUUUGAAAAACAAAUUUUAAAAUGUAUUCAUCCCACCCACCAUUACAGAGUCAUAUCUGUUCAUGGUAAAACAAAAAACUCAGACAGCACAGAACCCUACAGAAAAAAAGGAAGCAAACGCACCCAUAAUUCACAACCCUGGGAAAACUUCCAGCAUUUGAUCUUUUUCUGUUUACUCCUUGCUCAGUGUGUAUCUCUGUCUCUAUCUCUACCUAUAAUAAAUAAUAUCGACCACUUGAAA
Long non-coding RNA from Capra hircus (goat), 625 nucleotides. RefSeq lists it as uncharacterized. NCBI's taxonomy places the organism in Eukaryota, Metazoa, Chordata, Mammalia, Artiodactyla, Bovidae. The transcript is spliced from 2 exons. The record is from RefSeq and is a predicted model, not a curated record.